GGGCUGCACACAUGGAAUAUGGAGGUUCCCAGGCUAGGGGUUGAAUCAGAGCUACAGCUGUCGGCCUAUACCAUAGUCACAGCAACACAGGAUCCGAGCCACGUCUUUGACCUACACCACAGCUCACGGCAACGCCGGAUCCUUAAGACACUGAGUGAGACCCAGGGAUCGAACCUGCCACCUCAUGGUUCCUAGUCAGAUUCGUUUCCACUGCGCCAUGAUAGAGCUUUUUGCUUACCUUUCCAGUGGGAUCUGGAUUUGAAUCACCUAUGGUGUCUGGCCCUUAGCAGGAACCUAUUAAACACAUCUCUAAAAACUCCACUGAAUGAAAUAAACCUAAAAGCUUAAAAUUAAGUCACUAAAUAGUCUUUCCUCAGACAAUACUGAUGUUUUUCAAACCACACACUAGAAAAAAAAUCCCUAUGGUAACCAAGAAUGUCACAGGCUUCCACCAGCAUAAUUAAUAAAGAGCUAAACCAGAAGUACCUAAAAAAUGGUAUUUGCACGUGAAGUUAACUGGGCUUAAGCGUUCUUUGAAACAAAAUCUUUUUUUUUUUUUUUUUUUGGUCUUUUGUCUUUUUAGGGCUGUGCCCAUGGCAUAUGGAGGUUCCCAGGCUAGGGACUGAAUCGGAGCUACAAGUGCCGGCCUACACCACAGCCACAGCACCUCGGGAUCUGAGUUGCAUCUGCAAGCUACACCACAGCUCACGGCAACGCCGGAUCCCCAACCCACUGAGUGAGGCCAGAGAUCGAACCCACGUCCUCACGGAUGUUAGUCGGGUUCAUUAACCACUGAGCCACGUCGGCAACUCCCAAACUCUCCCCUUUAAAAGGGAUCAACUGUUCAGUCCUCUAUCCUGGAGGCUCUCCACCCAACAUCAUUUUAAGAGAAGGGGAGUGCCAUCUGCUACAGAUAUUCUAAUGUGCAUCCUUCCUGUAAUGACCCCAUGUUGAACCCUUCACAGGAAGUCAUCCCAAAGGAGACAGCACGUGCCAACAUUUUUGCGCAUCUCUGGACACCUUUGAAGUUCGACUUUUGGUGUCUGAAAUGACUGAUGGGGGGGGGGGGGGGGGGGAGCAGGAAAGCUUUGGCUGAUGUGUUCCAGAAUGGAUGUCUCAGCUACGAAACUCAAAAAGCCAAAAAAGGAUGGCUGUUCCUCCGAUGAAUAAGAAAGGAAUAGCAACAGGAAACCAGCAACAGUCACAAAAUAAUAAAUUACAACAAAUCCUAAACUGGUAGCAGUGCACUGUCGGCGUGACUCACUCCAUUUCCUUCCAACUUGUCAUCCCAUUAACAAAAGAAACAAAGUCACCUGACCAUCUCGACUUCUCGGGUAUCCAUUUUUUCAUCGGCACUGUUCCUUCUCAUAUUUACAAACAUGUUUAUUUGAUUCAACGAGGAAGAGGCAGGCAGCUUUCCAAUCAACAUAAAAGCUAGCGACACCCGUGCUUUGUCCUAAGAGAGAGGCGGAAGGAAAUACUGUGGGAUGGACAUGAGAGCUCACGCCCCUUUAGUGUUGUGUUUUCUUUUGUUUGCCUUAGUAUCAGGAUGAGUUUUUAUUUUUUUAAAAUAAAUAAAUAUUUUAUUGAUUUAUUUUAAUUACUCAAAUGAAUGUAUCCCAUCUGUAGUUAUAUAAUGAUCACCACAAUCUGAUUUCACAGGAUUCCCAUCCCACAGCCCAGGCACAUCCCCCCACCCCCCUAACUGUCUCCUCCGGAGACCCUAAGUUUUCCAUUUAAUGGGACCUGAAUGACAUGGUCGUUUCUGAGUCCUAUGUUUUGCGGCCCUAGGGGAGCAGCACAUUGAAAUGCUUCCCACUUCAUUCCUCCACCCAGAGGAUGUUCUAGGAUUCUUGGGAGCCCAGUGAGAACAACAGAAGUUGUUCCUGGAUUAGCAAUCCCUUCCAUUUGCUUGGACUUUCUAACUCCGGAAACUCUGAGGCACACAGGAUCAUGUGUUCAACACCCAGCGGGCCGUGCGGAGGAGAGGGUCACAGCGCAGACACCCGGGAGCCAGAAGGUCCUCGUGGGAGGCCUGGCUCCUCUACUUUCCAGCUUGGGACGUUCCAUUACUUCCCUUCUCCCUGCCUCAAUUUCCCCACCUCCAAACGCGGAUAAUAAUGGCACCAACCUCUUGGGGCUGGUGUGAGGAUUCCAUGAGAUCAUCGGCCCGGCUCAGGGUCCAAAGGCCACACUGCUUCGGGUACCUCAUACACAGCAAGCCUAAGGAGGCAUUUGCGACGGAAGACCAGUGAGACACAGACCUUUCCUCUCCAUCACCGGAGAGAAGCAACAAAGGAAUCAUGAGACCCUUUAACAAAUAAGACGUCAGAAAUGCCAGCUGCAGGAAGCUCUAGGGAAAGGCAAGGAAUUUUGCUACCCAAACUCUAGCUCUGUGGUGGAGGUUCCAGGCCUCAGAGCCCAUCAACUGAGGACGGAUUAGUAUCUGUAUGGCACCGAUGUUGGGGCCCGAGGAGACACAGACUUUUUAGGGGAGGGGCUGAGGAGUGGCUAAGAUUUUAGCUGCAAAAAAAAAAAAAAAAUAGGAGUUCCCAUCGUGGCGCAGGGGUUAACGAAUCCGACUAGGAACCAUGAGGUGGCGGGUUCAAUCCCUGGCCUUGCUCAGUGGGUUAUGGAUCUGGCGUUGACGUGAGCUGUGGUGUAGGUUGCAGACACGGCUCGGAUCCUGCAUUGCUGUGGCUGUGGUGUAGGCCGGCGGCUACAGCUCCGAUGAGACCCCCAGCCUGGGAACCUCCAUGUGCCGUGGGAAUGGCCCUAGAAAAGGCAAAAAGACAAAAAAAAAAAAAAAAAAAAGAGAGAGAGAGAGAGAGAGAGAUUUUAGCUGCUUGAAUAGACAUCUCGGAGGCACAGAAGGCCUGGGCUAGAUGCCAACAUAUAGAUGUGUGAGAAGUUCAGAGGAGGGAGUGGUGGGCCAGGCCUGAGCAAACCAGGAGUAUUCUGGAUUUACAGCUAAGCUUUACUUUGGUCUAGGCCAGGCCAGGCCUUAGAGAGAUGAUCACAGAUACACAGAGAGAGCCAGGGAGGUCCUCCAGGUAGAUGGAAAGGUACAGGCAAAGGCAGAAAUGUAUCAUCAGAGCCUGAUUAGACAAGGUGGCUGGGGGAGAAGGUUCCAUGGGGAGGGGACUGAUGGGAGACUCAGCGAAUGGUGCAGGUAGGGGCCCAUCUGUAGAGGUAGCUUUUCCCUGGCCUACAUCUCUUGUUGUUGCCGUCUCUAUUUUAAUUGAAGCAUUUAUUGAGUUAAUUGUAGAUUCACAUGCAGUUGUAAGAAAUAAUACAGAAAUAUUCCAUAUAUUCGGUAACUAGCUUCCCCCAUACAUAGCAUCUGACAAUACAGAAUACAGUGUCUCAACAGGUCAUUGACAUUGGUACAACCCACCUCCAGUGCUCAGCUUCUUCCAGUUUUACGUGCACUUACGCAAGGUAUACACCUGUGUAAGUUUGCCUCU
RNAcentral lists this long non-coding RNA (3467 nucleotides) under Sus scrofa (pig). RNAcentral describes it as "lncRNA (ENSSSCG00060005363.1)". Lineage: Eukaryota; Metazoa; Chordata; Mammalia; Artiodactyla; Suidae. The record is from RNAcentral.